CGUUGCCCUGCAAGUUAGUGGCAGACGGGUGAGUAACGCGUGGGAAUGUACCUUUUGGUUCGGAAUAACUACGGGAAACUGUGGAUAAUACCGAAUAAGCCCUUCGGGGGAAAGAUUUAUCGCCAAAAGAGCAGCCCGCGUUAGAUUAGGUAGUUGGUGGGGUAAUGGCCUACCAAGCCUUCGAUCUAUAGCUGGUCUGAGAGGAUGAUCAGCCACACUGGGACUGAGACACGGCCCAG
Molecule: ribosomal RNA, 239 nt
Filed under: uncultured bacterium
Lineage: Bacteria
Description: partial 16S ribosomal RNA
Rfam family: Bacterial small subunit ribosomal RNA
Source: RNAcentral